Molecule: long non-coding RNA, 375 nt
Organism: Erinaceus europaeus (western European hedgehog)
Lineage: Eukaryota; Metazoa; Chordata; Mammalia; Eulipotyphla; Erinaceidae
Exons: 2
Source: RefSeq, a predicted model, not a curated record
ACCCGCCCAUACGUGGGGCGUGUUUUGGGUUUUGUCUAAUCUUGAAUUCAAGAUGAGCAGUUUUUGGAAAGAAUUGUAGUAACAAAUUUUCCCUAGUUAAUGCAGGAUUGUGGGUAGCCAAAGAUAUCCUCAAACAAGGUGAAUCCAACUUUUCCAUCAAUGUGGUGACUCAAGCUGGAUUAUCCCUAAAGUUUGAGGAAUUAUUGGAUUAUUCCCUAAAGGCUUGAACAAAUUCCUAACUUUGAGACCUAGGGAACCACCCUACUUCUGGUCAUUACCCAAAUCAGCUUCUCAAUCUCUGUUGAAUCUUGGGAGUUGCCUAGGAAUUUACUCUUUACUCAACUAAUAAAAUUUGUUGGUACUCACUUGCUCUUA